Molecule: long non-coding RNA, 170 nt
Organism: Sitophilus oryzae (rice weevil)
Lineage: Eukaryota; Metazoa; Arthropoda; Insecta; Coleoptera; Curculionidae
Exons: 3
Source: RefSeq, a predicted model, not a curated record
UUUUAGAGAGCAGAGAAGACCGGCUAGAGAGGAUAAAGAUUGGAAGAACAGAAACGACCGAUCCGAGAGUAGAAAUUCUGAUAAAUCAACUGAAAGACCUUGGAGAUCUGAGAAUAAUUUUCGUCAAUCAUUAUUAAAUUGGAGACUGGCGAAGAUGUAAGUGAUGUGUU